Molecule: ribosomal RNA, 369 nt
Filed under: uncultured Caulobacteraceae bacterium
Lineage: Bacteria; Pseudomonadati; Pseudomonadota; Alphaproteobacteria; Caulobacterales; Caulobacteraceae
Description: bacterial SSU rRNA
Rfam family: Bacterial small subunit ribosomal RNA
Source: RNAcentral
ACAUACGCGUAGAGUUUGAUCCUGGCUCAGAGCGAACGCUGGCGGCAGGCCUAACACAUGCAAGUCUAACGGGUCCUUCGGGAUCAGUGGCGGACGGGUGAGUAACACGUGGGAACGUGCCCAAAGGUACGGAACAACUCAGAGAAACUUGAGCUAAUACCGUAUGUGCCCUACGGGGGAAAGAUUUAUCGCCUUUGGAGCGGCCCGCGUCUGAUUAGCUAGUUGGUGAGGUAAAGGCUCACCAAGGCGACGAUCAGUAGCUGGUCUGAGAGGAUGAUCAGCCACAUUGGGACUGAGACACGGCCCAAACUCCUACGGGAGGCAGCAGUGGGGAAAUCUUGCGCAAAUGGGCGAAAAGCCUGACGCGGC